UACGGGGGGGCAAGCGUUGUUCGGAAUUAUUGGGCGUAAAGAGCUCGUAGGCGGUCUGUCGCGUCUGCUGUGAAAACUCAGGGCUUAACCCUGAGCUUUGCAGUGGGUACGGGCAGACUAGAGUGCGGUAGGGGAGACUGGAAUUCCUGGUGUAGCGGUGAAAUGCGCAGAUAUCAGGAGGAACACCGGUGGCGAAGGCGGGUCUCUGGGCCGUAACUGACGCUGAGGAGCGAAAGCAUGGGGAGCGAACAGG
RNAcentral lists this ribosomal RNA (253 nucleotides) under uncultured bacterium. RNAcentral's name for it is "partial 16S ribosomal RNA". It matches the Rfam family "Bacterial small subunit ribosomal RNA", at positions 524 to 776 of the family's 1533-position model. The record is from RNAcentral.